Molecule: non-coding RNA, 492 nt
Organism: Cebus imitator (Panamanian white-faced capuchin)
Lineage: Eukaryota; Metazoa; Chordata; Mammalia; Primates; Cebidae
Source: the annotation of a RefSeq genome assembly
AGUGACAUCACAGGAAAAACCACCAACCAGGGCCAAGGAGACCAGAGCCCAGCCCCUCGCCCAGAGGAUCUCAGUCAGAGGCCCCAUUUCAGACCCCAGGCUAGCAUGGGCUGCAGGCUGCUCUGCUGUGCACUGCUCUGCCUCCUGAGAGCAGUCCACAUGGACACCGGAGUUACCCAGACACCAAAACACCUGGUCAUGGGAAGGACGAAUAAGAAGUCUUUGAAAUGUGAACAACACCUGAGGCACAAUGCUAUGUACUGGUACAAACAGAAAGCUAAGACGCCACUGGAGCUCAUGUUCAUCUACGGAUUUCAAAAACAAACUGAAAACAAUAGUGUGCCCAGUCGCUUCUCACCUGAAUGCCCCAACAGCUCUCACUUAUACCUUCACCUACACGCCCUGCAGCCAGAAGACUCGGCCCUGUAUCUCUGUGCCAGCAGCCAAGACACAGCCUUGCAGAGUCACCGUCUCCCUGUGCAGAAACCUUAG